AACAUUGCCUUUUGAUUUUUAAUAAAAGGUAAGCCCUGCCCAGUGAGAUUUUCAACGGCCGCGGUAUCCUGACCGUGCAAAGGUAGCAUAAUCAUUUGCCCCUUAAUUAGGGGCUGGAAUGAAUGGGUAAACUAAAUUCCCCUGUCUCCUAGAAAAUAAUAAAAAUUUACUUAUUAGUGAAGAGGCUAAUAUUUUUUUAAAAGACAAGAAGACCCUAUAGAGCUUCCCGUAUAUUUUCUAAAAAAAAUUAACCGGUUUUGUUGGGGCGACAAGGGAAAAGAAAAAACUUCCCUUAAACUCAAGGCCAAUAAGCCUUUACCACUACCCUUUUAAAAGGAUUUAAAAAAGCUACCUUAGGGAUAACAGGCUAAUUCUUCUUUAGAGCCCUAAUCGACAGAAGAGAUUGGCACCUCGAUGUUGGCUUAAGGUCCCUAUUUAGCGCAGAAGUUAAAUUAGGUGGUUUGUUCAACCAUUAAAUCCUUACAUGAUCUG
RNAcentral lists this ribosomal RNA (492 nucleotides) under Amblyosyllis nigrolineata. Its description in RNAcentral is "partial 16S ribosomal RNA". It matches the Rfam family "Bacterial large subunit ribosomal RNA", at positions 1812 to 2607 of the family's 2925-position model. Lineage: Eukaryota; Metazoa; Annelida; Polychaeta; Phyllodocida; Syllidae. The record is from RNAcentral.